RNAcentral lists this ribosomal RNA (443 nucleotides) under Streptococcus sp. oral taxon 058. Its description in RNAcentral is "bacterial SSU rRNA". It matches the Rfam family "Bacterial small subunit ribosomal RNA", at positions 28 to 462 of the family's 1533-position model. The record is from RNAcentral. Lineage: Bacteria; Bacillati; Bacillota; Bacilli; Lactobacillales; Streptococcaceae.
GACGAACGCCGGCGGCGCGCCUAAUACAUGCAAGUAGAACGCUGAAGAGAGGAGCUUGCUCUUCUUGGAUGAGUUGCGAACGGGUGAGUAACGCGUAGGUAACCUGCCUGGUAGCGGGGGAUAACUAUUGGAAACGAUAGCUAAUACCGCAUAAUAUUGACUAUUGCAUGAUAGUUGAUUAAAAGGUGCAAUUGCACCACUACCAGAUGGACCUGCGUUGUAUUAGCUAGUUGGUGGGGUAACGGCUCACCAAGGCGACGAUACAUAGCCGACCUGAGAGGGUGAUCGGCCACACUGGGACUGAGACACGGCCCAGACUCCUACGGGAGGCAGCAGUAGGGAAUCUUCGGCAAUGGACGGAAGUCUGACCGAGCAACGCCGCGUGAGUGAAGAAGGUUUUCGGAUGUAAAGCUCUGUUGUAAGAGAAGAACGAGUGUGAGAAG